GUUAGCUAUCACUGGCCACACAGAGAGCCUGUGCUAUUCAUGAUGCAGGGGUAGUUCACUGGUAAAAUGUUUGUUUUGCAAUCACGAGGAAAAACCCACAUUUUAAAACAAGCCACACUUGGUGGUGUAUCCUUGUAAUCCAGCACUGGGGACAUGGAGACAGACAGAUUCAGCAUUAUGGGGAAUCUCCAGGUCAAUAAGAGACUCUGCCUCAAAAUAGUUGUAUUUUCCAGACCUGGAGCUGCCUACGGGAGGACGAGGACUGAUUCUUUGGCCUUUGAAAUUCUCCAAGAUCGUGAAGGUCCAGACACCUGACCCACAUCGUUGUCAUCACCCUAAGACAGAGAUAAGAGGCAAGGAGCAGAACCCUGGAAGAACCCAGCACUGAAGCCGAUGUCUUAGCAGUGCACAGGACAGAAAGCAGACGUGGAAGAGUCGAAAGAGGUGUGAGCUGAGGGUUGCAGAGGGGCCUAACAGUGAGGUGUGGGGCUCAGAGAGGUCUGCAUGAAAGUGUGACUACAGGUGUGAGAGAGCAAUCUCACUCUAGUUCACCAAUGAAGUAUUAUUGAGGACCGACUGCUCUAGGCAAGCACUGGGCUCCAGGCUGCAGCUACAAUGGAGAGUUCGACAUGGUUCCAGGGGAAAAUUUUUCCAUGGGAAGAGCUUCUUACAUGGUUCUAUAUGGCACUGGGAGUCAGUGACAAGGACAAGAACACAGGGGCUACAGAGGAAAGAAUGGCAGGUGGUGAUAGCCCAGUCAGACCUGUAGGCUGAACAGAGGAGUCAGUGUGGCCAGAGGAGGAAAAAGUAUAAAAGAGGGGGCCUUGGAAGAUCCAGGGACACUGGGCUUAACUAUGGGAGCUGGAGUUCCCAGAAGCCUGUGGCUACCAGGUCUGGCAUGGACACAGCAGGACCCAGCCUUUGGAACCUUCUUUCUACAGGUGACAUAUACUCAGCACUCAGCUAGGCACAGAAGAGGGAAGUCAUGCCCCAACGAUGACAGCAUAAAAAAGAAAAAACCCACAGGAAUGGCUUCAUCAUGACAGGUUUGGUGCCAGCUAGCUUCUGUCUCUUGUUUUCAACUUUGGGCCAAUAAAAGAGGAAGCCGAGCCUUUGGUUUGGCUGUCCCCUUGGCAGACUGGCAGGUAGUGGAUCGGAUUUUGUUCCAGAGGUUAACUGUAUGACCUCAUUCCUGGCACUGCCUCUGGAGCCAGGAAUGCUCAGAGUCAGACUCUGGCAGGACUGACUACCCGAGUUCUCCUGUGACAUCUCUCAGUCUCUGCGGGCCUUAGAAGGGGUCAAAGGAGUGGUGCCUCCUGGGCCCAGUGCAGUAGUUGGCAGAGGACAACACAUAUCAAGUGUUCACCCUUGAAAGUGAACACACACACAUACACACACACACACACACACACACACACACACACACCCCUAUCCACAUGCAUGCCUCCUCUGCCCUCUCUUGAGUAAUGGAGAACAUAGUAAGUACAUCAUGAAUAGAAGAAAAGUAAGCCUGUGGUAUGACCCUCUGUAUGCACAGUCCCAGCUGGGUGUCCAUCAGGUUGUUUGGUACCUGUCCAUGUGGGUCAUGAAGUUUGGUGGAUGUGAAAAAAGGCACAGUUGUGAGUCUGUAUGCUCUGUUUAAGGCAGUGUUUCUCAGCCUUCCUGACACUGCGAUCCUUCAAUCCAGUUUCUUGUGUUGUGCUGACCCCCAACCAUGAAAUCAUUUCUGCUGCUACUUCAUAGUUGUAAUUUUGUGACGGAUAUGAAUCAUAAUGUAAAUAUCUGUGUUUUCUGAUGGUCUUAGGUGACCCCCGUUAAAGGGUUGUUUCACACCCCCCCCAAAGGGGUCACAACUCACAGGUUGAGAAACACUGGUUUAAGGGAUCCAGAUGUCCAACGUCUCCAAUUCAGGAAGGCUGUUCUGUCACUCCUGUAACAAUGACUCUAGGCUGCAGGUACCAUCAAGGCAUGGCCAGGAAGUCAGGGCCAGCAAGGUGCCAGCUUUCAAUUCUCUGCUUGUACAGGGAGCCCGAGAAGCCACAGUUGGCACUUACUGCAAAGGUGGAGUUACCUAGGGUCAAAGUCAGAGAAAGGCGGAAAUCUGGGACACAGUACUGGGAGGGUCCCAUGAUGAGACUAAGUGAACAUUUGUUUAGUGUCUCUAGUAUGUGCCAGGCACUGGGCCAGAUGACUUACAUACAUUAAACAAUUUAACUCCAGGACAACCCUGGGACUGGGGCAUUCUGUUAUCUUAAUUACACAAGUUCUGAUGGGCCUAGCAAUGUGCCUUUGAGCCCACAGUGUAGUGUGGGUUCUUUCAUUGCUCAGGUCUCCCCUAAACCAUCACCUUUUCAAACAGACCUUCUGGGUGCUGUUUCUAGCCCAGCACCCCUUUAUUCUUUUACUUUGCAUGAUUUUUUUCCAUGGUCCUCUAAUCUUCACAUAUAUGCCAUGGCAUGAGAAUACCACAUACAUAUAUCACAUGCACAUACAGAUUGAAAGGAAGAAAAAAAAGCAAAAGAAAAAUAGUCUCUCCUAUUGUCACUCACCACCCUUCUUAGAUAUAGUAUGAGAAAUGAGACUUGUCAUGAGCCACAGACUCACCCAUGAUUACAAGCCUAUAGCUAUGGAGUGAGAUUGGGACUCACAGCAAACUUCCCAUUGCAUAACUUUCAUAGCUCUCAAAGUAUGGCAGGUGUUUGAAGAGGGCUCAUUGUAGCUGGGUAGAAAGCACUUUAAACCUAUUCCUUAGUUGUGUAAUCCACACAUAUCAUAUCUGCUCCUUUGCUGGAGAAAAAUGUA
Non-coding RNA from Cricetulus griseus (Chinese hamster), 2802 nucleotides. Lineage: Eukaryota; Metazoa; Chordata; Mammalia; Rodentia; Cricetidae. The record is from RefSeq and is a predicted model, not a curated record.